CUUUAGUCCCAGUUCUGGAAACUUCCCUGUUCUGCAGGAUUAGAAGAUUCCUUUAGGACUUCUGACCUGACUACUCCCUGGUCUCACCUGAUGCUUCUUCCCACAGGAGGACAAGGAGGAAGCUACACUCAGGCUGCAAGCAGCCACAGUCCCUGUGCUCUGAAGUGUAUCUCCGCCCCUAUAGGGGCAGGACCAAUGUGCUAUCCAUAGAAAACAGAGGUACCAAGUUACCGCCCCGCCUAAGGAAAGGUGGGGCUGAGCAGGGAUGAGAAGCUAAGGAAGAGGAGGAAGACAUGGAGCAAGAUGGGGAAAGGAGACUGAGGAGGUGCAUGGAGCAGAGAGACAUGUGAAGAAGAAACCACGCCUUGCUUCUCACUUGGACUUGUUCCAUGGAGUUGGGGACAUGGAAAGAGACAUGUGAAAGAGAUUAAAAACAUGGGUGAGAGACUCAUGGGGAGGCUGACAAUGACCGCUGUUAUCUUGUCAUGGAUUUAGAUUUUGUUCUUUUCCUUCCAGACUUGCCUGGCCCCUCCUGACCCUUUCCCAUGGGUCUCUACCAGUAGGUGCCUUAGCCUUGUGGCAGGCGUUCGGGCCCCAGUGGGCCUGCUUUGGGCCCAGCCUGUUUGGCUGGGCAUUGACCCAUGAGGGGACGGGUAACUUUGGGUGCUUCACUUGGGAACUAUACUAACUAUAUUCUUUCUCUUCUUCUCUCUCUAUUGCACACUGAUUCUCUAUUUUAUAGUAAUUGUAUUAAAGUUCUUUUCUAUUGAAGG
Talpa occidentalis (Iberian mole) is the source of this 773-nucleotide long non-coding RNA. RefSeq lists it as uncharacterized. The record is from RefSeq and is a predicted model, not a curated record. NCBI's taxonomy places the organism in Eukaryota, Metazoa, Chordata, Mammalia, Eulipotyphla, Talpidae. The transcript is spliced from 3 exons.